This 330-nucleotide unclassified non-coding RNA is filed under the name soil metagenome. RNAcentral's name for it is "partial contains 5.8S ribosomal RNA, internal transcribed spacer 2, and large subunit ribosomal RNA". The stretch from base 1 to 120 matches the Rfam family "5.8S ribosomal RNA", at positions 35 to 154 of the family's 154-position model. The record is from RNAcentral.
GAUGAAGAACGUAGCGAAAUGCGAUAAGUAAUGUGAAUUGCAGAAUUCAGUGAAUCAUCGAAUCUUUGAACGCACAUUGCGCCCUCUGGUAUUCCGGGGGGCAUGCCUGUUCGAGCGUCAUUAUAACCACUCAAGCUCUCGCUUGGUAUUGGGGUUCGCGGUUCCGCGGCCCCUAAAAUCAGUGGCGGUGCCUGUCGGCUCUACGCGUAGUAAUACUCCUCGCGAUUGAGUCCGGUAGGUCUACUUGCCAGCAACCCCCAAUUUUUUUCAGGUUGACCUCGGAUCAGGUAGGGAUACCCGCUGAACUUAAGCAUAUCAAUAAGCGGAGGA